AUUUGGUGAUGGGGGCAGCUAGCACAUAGUCUCUUAAACUUCUCCCAUUAGUCAUACAAAGUUUCACCACUCUCUUGGUGAAUCCCACAGAUUUCUUUUCUAAUACU
Small nucleolar RNA from Humulus lupulus (European hop), 107 nucleotides. NCBI's taxonomy places the organism in Eukaryota, Viridiplantae, Streptophyta, Magnoliopsida, Rosales, Cannabaceae. The record is from RefSeq and is a predicted model, not a curated record.